Molecule: long non-coding RNA, 1270 nt
Organism: Mastomys coucha (southern multimammate mouse)
Lineage: Eukaryota; Metazoa; Chordata; Mammalia; Rodentia; Muridae
Exons: 8
Source: RefSeq, a predicted model, not a curated record
GUCUUCCAGCUGGCCUGUGUUUCAAGCAUCAACAGACAGGGGCAGCUAUCGUAUCAGCUCGGGAUAUUAUAUCAGAGAAGCAUAAACGAAGCUAAAACAGACAUGCAGCUCGCAAAUCGAUGAGAGGCCCGUGGGAAGACAGCUGUCCAGUGAGAACUACAGAAAUGGAAAGAUGCGAUUGUGCUUCCAUCUGAGGCAGCUGAAGUCAGCAGAACUCCAAUUUGGAGGUCUCCAGUAGGCCAUGGCCAGCCUGUCAUUGAUGGGACAGAUUUCAGGCUGUGGAUCCCAGACUCACAUCCAAGACCGUCACACCCAGGACGUUAAUCAUAUGCCCAUCCAAUGGCACCCAAAUAACCUUGCUUUAAGAACUCCACCCUUCAUGACUGAUGGAGCACAACUCAGCCUCCAGUCCCAUUGCUCAUCACAGUCCAGGACCUGAAGCUGAGCACUGAGAGAGCACUCAUCCUAGCAUGGCGUUUCCCUGCCUGCCUCCUACACAGAUCUACACCCUACAUCAUGAGACAAAAAGCAGACAGCCACAGUACAGGCUGAGGAGAAUCAAAGAAAAGAGGGAAGGAGGAAGCCCCAGGUCCAAGUAUUUGCAAAAUAUUCUACGUGGCUGUGGUGAAGAUUGUGCCUGGAGAGACCUUUGUGCUUAACUGCUAGUUCCUGUUUCAAGGGACAGAAGAACAAGAGGCUGGUGUGGUGUAGAAUCUCUCAGCAUGUUAAUACCAUGUGAUGCCUAUGCAGGAAGGGGGCAGGAUGUGGGACUCCAUGCUUGCCUCUGGGCCCCCAGAUCAUCCUGCCAGGGGAGUGUUGAUGACUCAAGGAAUGACCAACCUUCUCUUAAGAUGACAGGAUUGACAAAAUGAGGUAGCCUGAGAACCCUAAGCACAAAGCUCUCCACAACUCCAGAGCAGAGUCUGCCUGAGGUACAGGGUCCUACCCUUGUGCACACAGCCCAGGGACAGCCACGGAGGUGCUGAAUGGCAUUGCUGGUCCCCAUCGAGGGUGAAGCCUCUGAAUGAAUGAGCUCUCCUUCCACUUGAUCCGGGUCUAUCCUACCAACAAUUAAGCUCCAGCACAACCGAGACCCCUUGGCAAAACAACAACGACAACCAAAUAAAAAAGCCCACAGCUGGAUGGAGCCUUCAUGUGCACCUGACUCACCAUGAGUCACGUCCCCAGAGGGGCCUGCUCAGUUUGCCAUUGUUACCGAUUAAAAGGAGUCACAUGCAUCCUGCAUGCACACACUUCAGGUGGAAGCCAA